GGAUCGGUGUCCGAGUGGUUGAAGGAGCACGCCUGGAAAGCGUGUAUAGGGGCAACUCUAUCGAGGGUUCGAAUCCCUCCCGUUCCGCCA
RNAcentral lists this transfer RNA (90 nucleotides) under Deinococcus lacus. RNAcentral's name for it is "tRNA-Ser". It matches the Rfam family "tRNA". Rfam says of the family: Transfer RNA (tRNA) molecules are approximately 80 nucleotides in length. Their secondary structure includes four short double-helical elements and three loops (D, anti-codon, and T loops). RNAcentral also lists the same sequence under 1 other name. The record is from RNAcentral. Lineage: Bacteria; Thermotogati; Deinococcota; Deinococci; Deinococcales; Deinococcaceae.